GCCACCGCUCAAAAAAAGAAGAGGAAUUACAGACACCACACGACCUAUUCUUCCCCAAAUAGAACCCUCCCCCAAAUCGACGGCCUCCUCCUCGACCGCCGCUGCCGCCCCCUCUACCAUUGACCAUGCCCUCCACCACCACCACUUUGAUUGACAUGUACGACCCCAUCGGGAUCUAUGGCGGCGGUGCUUGGAUCUCGGCAUCGCCACCCUCGAUAUGCCUCCGAUGUGCGAGGUCGUCGUCGCCUCCCUCCCUUCGACACCAGCACCAGAACUGGUCGAUGAUGCCAGUCGCCUCCAUCUCUUAUUUACGGCCAUCACGCCAACGAGCAUAGGCGGACUCCCCACCACGGCUUCCUCCCCGCCAAUGGCGAGCAUGGUGUCCCAUCUCUACUAUGCUGGUACAAUACUUUCUCAGAUCUGUCUUGGUGGAAACCCGAUGCAUGUGAGAUCUUCCUUACCAAGGUGCUAUUAGUGAAAGGAUUGGAGAUUGGUUCUAGCAGUGGUUGGUUUGUUCGGGGAAUUCCUGAUGCUCGUGAUUUGUAAAGGGUUUCAGCCAGGGCAAGUAAUUAUCAGCUGAGCAAAGGCUACAACAUGCUAGGAGGAGAAGUUUGAAUGGAGGCAGAGAGUACACUUGGAAAUACAAUGGAAAAAGGAAGAGGAGACAAUGCUAGCGGAAGUUAAAGCAAUAAACUAUAAGCAUUUUGAAUGAUUAGGGCCUCAUAUUGUUGGGAACAUUACAACCAUGGGGAACGCUAAUUUUGGUUGCGAAUUUAGCAUAGAAGCCACUAUAUGCUCAUUUUGGUCGUCUGUCGCAUCCAAAAACAUAUGUAAUUUUCCUUUUGUUGCACAACACCCUUAUAUAUGGGCGUUUCUAGAAACAUAUGUAUUUGGUCGUUAAUUUUAUUGAAUUAUGUUAAGUUUUA
Molecule: long non-coding RNA, 926 nt
Organism: Triticum aestivum (bread wheat)
Lineage: Eukaryota; Viridiplantae; Streptophyta; Magnoliopsida; Poales; Poaceae
Exons: 4
Source: RefSeq, a predicted model, not a curated record